UACGGGGGGGGCAAGCGUUGUUCGGAAUUACUGGGCGUAAAGGGCUCGUAGGUGGCCAACUAAGUCAGACGUGAAAUCCCCAGGCUCAACUUGGGAACUGCACUCGAAACUGUUUAUCUUGAGUACCGGAGAGGAAAGCGGAAUACCUGGUGUAGAGGUGAAAUUCGUAGAUAUCAGGUGGAACACCAGUGGCGAAGGCGGCUUUCUGGACGGUAACUGACGCUGAGACGCGAAAGCGUGGGGAGCAAACAGG
RNAcentral lists this ribosomal RNA (253 nucleotides) under uncultured bacterium. RNAcentral's name for it is "partial 16S ribosomal RNA". It matches the Rfam family "Bacterial small subunit ribosomal RNA", at positions 524 to 776 of the family's 1533-position model. The record is from RNAcentral.